CCUACGUGAGGCAGCAGUGGGGAAUAUUGCACCAUGGGGGAAACCCUGAUGCAGCGACGCCGCGUGAGUGAAGAAGUAAUUCGUUACGUAAAGCUCUAUCAGCAGGGAAGAAACACUGACCUUACGGUGAGCAGACGGUACCUGAGUAAGAAGCACCGGCUAACUACGUGCCAGCAGCCGCGGUAAUACGGAGGGGGCACGAGUUUUCCGGAUUUACUGGGUUGAAAGGGAGCUGAGACGGUGCGUCAGGUCUGGAGUGAAAUGACGCGGCUAAACGGCGGAACUGCUUUGGAAACUGGCGAACUAGAGUGCGGGAGGGGUAAGCGGAAUUCCUAGUGUAGCGGUGAAAUGCGUAGAUAUUAGGAGGAACACCGGUGGCGAAGGCGGCUUACUGGACCGUAACUGACGUUGAGGCUCGAAAGCGUGGGGAGCAAACAGGAUUAUAUACCCCAGUAGUC
RNAcentral lists this ribosomal RNA (458 nucleotides) under uncultured bacterium. RNAcentral describes it as "partial 16S ribosomal RNA". It matches the Rfam family "Bacterial small subunit ribosomal RNA", at positions 338 to 795 of the family's 1533-position model. The record is from RNAcentral.